GGACGAACGCUGGCGGCGUGCCUAAUACAUGCAAGUCGAACGCUUCUUUCCUACCGAGUGCUUGCACUCACUUGGAAAGAGGAGUGGCGGACGGGUGAGUAACACGUGGGUAACCUACCCAUCAGAGGGGGAUAACACUUGGAAACAGGUGCUAAUACCGCAUAACAGUUUACACCGCCUGGUGUAAAAGUGAAAGGCGCUUUCGGGUGUCGCUGAUGGAUGGACCCGCGGUGCAUUAGCUAGUUGGUGAGGUAACGGCUCACCAAGGCGAUGAUGCAUAGCCGACCUGAGAGGGUGAUCGGCCACACUGGGACUGAGACACGGCCCAGACUCCUACGGGAGGCAGCAGUAGGGAAUCUUCGGCAAUGGACGAAAGUCUGACCGAGCAACGCCGCGUGAGUGAAGAAGGUUUUCGGAUCGUAAAACUCUGUUGUUAGAGAAGAACAAGGACGUAAGUAACUGUACGUCCCCUGACGGUAUCUAACCAGAAAGCCACGGCUAACUACGU
Molecule: ribosomal RNA, 508 nt
Filed under: Enterococcus sp. 'ARUP UnID 314'
Lineage: Bacteria; Bacillati; Bacillota; Bacilli; Lactobacillales; Enterococcaceae
Also listed under: 1 other name
Description: bacterial SSU rRNA
Rfam family: Bacterial small subunit ribosomal RNA
Source: RNAcentral